RNAcentral lists this transfer RNA (78 nucleotides) under Betaproteobacteria bacterium. RNAcentral describes it as "tRNA-Arg". Lineage: Bacteria; Pseudomonadati; Pseudomonadota; Betaproteobacteria. The record is from RNAcentral.
GACCUCCUGGCGGAGCGCGGGAUCGCGGGCGUCGGCGGCACGCCGGAGCGCGGGGCGUUCGUGGUCGUCCGGCGGUCG